This 253-nucleotide ribosomal RNA is filed under the name uncultured bacterium. RNAcentral describes it as "partial 16S ribosomal RNA". It matches the Rfam family "Bacterial small subunit ribosomal RNA", at positions 524 to 776 of the family's 1533-position model. The record is from RNAcentral.
UACGUAGGGUGCAAGCGUUGUCCGGAAUUAUUGGGCGUAAAGAGCUCGUAGGCGGUUUGUUGCGUCGGCUGUGAAAUCCCGAGGCUCAACCUCGGGUCUGCAGUCGAUACGAGCAAACUAGAGUGUUGCAGGGGAGACUGGAAUUCCUGGUGUAGCGGUGAAAUGCGCAGAUAUCAGGAGGAACACCGGUGGCGAAGGCGGGUCUCUGGGCAACAACUGAUGCUGAGGAGCGAAAGCGUGGGGAGCGAACAGG